AAGAACUUUGAAAAGAGAGUNNAAAAGUGCGUGAAACCGCUGGAAGGGAAGCGAAUGGAGUCGGAAAUUCGCCUCGGCGCGUGCGUCUUUCUAGACGAAGCUUGCGCACGUGCGUCGCGCAACCGGUGCACUUCCGCUUGGCGAAAGUCAACGUCGGUUUGCGCGGAGCCAAAAAGCCGCGAGCACGGUAGGUCGCUCGCGAUCGGUAAGGCUUGCGAGCGUACGGCUUCACGUAGACCGAGUUAAGUCGCAGCACGUACCUGCAGGUUGAUGUCUUCGUAGCUGAGUAGGUUUAACCUCGCCGCGCGGACGGCUUUGCCUGUGCGUCGGCGAGCGGCCUGCCAAGCCACGGAGGAAGCAGACACGACGUGCUGAGCACGUUGGCUGCCCACCGGCUCCAUCCGACCCGUCUUGAAACACGGACCAAGGAGUCUAACAUGUGCGCAAGUCUCAGAGUGAUCGAAACUCGUUGGGCGUAAUGAAAGUGAACGUGGCUCCGGCUGCGGAGAUGAGAGGCUGCCGCAGCGGCAUCAUCGACCGACCUAUUCUACUCUUAGAAAGGUUUGAGUGAGAGCGUACCUGCUGGGACCCGAAAGAUGGUGAACUAUGCCUGAAUAGGGCGAAGCCAGCGGAAACACUGGUGGAAGCCCGAAGCGGUUCUGACGUGCAAAUCGAUCGUCGAAUUUGGGUAUAGCGGCGAAAGACUAAUCGAACCAUCUAGUAGCUGGUUCCCUCCGAAGUUNCUCACAGGAUAGCUGGAACUCCGUGGCAGUUU
This 775-nucleotide ribosomal RNA is filed under the name Dasystenella acanthina. RNAcentral describes it as "eukaryotic LSU rRNA". It matches the Rfam family "Eukaryotic large subunit ribosomal RNA", at positions 369 to 1001 of the family's 3401-position model. Lineage: Eukaryota; Metazoa; Cnidaria; Anthozoa; Scleralcyonacea; Primnoidae. The record is from RNAcentral.